CCGGAAUCAUUUCUCCCGCGUG
Molecule: microRNA, 22 nt
Filed under: Citrus sinensis (sweet orange)
Lineage: Eukaryota; Viridiplantae; Streptophyta; Magnoliopsida; Sapindales; Rutaceae
Description: csi-miR391-3p
Gene: csi-miR391-3p
Source: miRBase by way of RNAcentral